GGUUCCAUCUCUGCACAAUGUCUCGGAUUCUUAAAGCAGUCAAUGUGACUCACGAGCUCACGACUGACACAAACUGCUUGCUCUCCCCAUGAAACCUGCGCCAAAGCUUUGCUUCCUUUGAGUCAGUUACCAAAGCGGUCACAUGGUUGUGUGUACCGAAUGAAGCUUCGGACGUCAUUGAUCACGUGUUUAUGGCAGAAACUAAUCAAGCCUCGGCACACUGUUUCUAGUGUCGUCUUUUUCUGGACACACGCUCCUGAGCUUCAGUAUCAAGGGCUAAUCUGGGUUGGAAGCCACUUGUGGUCCAGUCUGGUCUGAUGUGUUCCCGUCUCCUUAGAUAGGGGGCGCUGUUUUCUAAAAUGAGUCUCUCAGAGGAGCCAGAGACCAAAAGAGGAACCCUCAGCACUGAGAGGAAGAGGGUUAAAGUAGAAAGAGCAGGGUCACCUGUACCCAGCUGUCUGUCUAUGAAGAGUGAUCGUUCAAUGGAUCAGCCAAUCAAGUUCAGAGGAGAGUUCACAGAUGAUCAAAGGGUCCAGGUAGAAAGAGCAGGGUCACCUGUACCCAGCUGUCUGUCUAUGAGGAGUGAUCGUUCAAUGGAUCAGCCAAUCAAGUUCAGAGGAGAGUUACCAGGUGAUUCAAGGGUUAAAGUAGAAAGAGCAGGGUCACCUGUACCCAGCUGUCUGUCUAUGAGGAGUGAUCGUUCAAUGGAUCAGCCAAUCAAGUUCAGAGGAGAGUUACCAGGUGAUUCAAGGGUUAAAGUAGAAAGAGCAGGGUCACCUGUACCCAGCUGUCUGUCUAUGAAGAGUGAUCGUUCAAUGGAUCAGCCAAUCAAGCUCAGAAGAGAGUUCACAGAUGAUCAAAGGUAAUAAAACAGGUUCAAAUAGACAUUCCUAUGUAAUAAUACUUCAAUGUUUCUGAAAGGUUUCAGAAGUAGGUGGGUGUAUUGUGACCCAUUCAGGUGUAGAUGAGGUGUAUUAUGUCAUGUUCCUGUAUUCUGUGAUUUAGAGCUGCAGUAAGAGGACGAGUUUAACUAGAAGCUUUCUCCAAGCGCUGUGAGUUAGAGCUGCAGUAAGAGGAUGAGUUUAACUGGAAGAUCUGUCUCCAAGUGCUGUGAGUUAGAGCUGCAGUAAGAGGAUGAGUUUAAAGUGGGCUGUAUACUUCGUAAGAAGUAGAACUUUUUGAGCAAAACGAAGCAAUGAGAACAAUUGAAGAACAAAAAGAGGUGAUGUUGCAUGUUCGUACGUUGCAGUGUGUGACGACCUCCACGGUGAACUUUUGGAAAACUUCUUUCUUGUUCUCCGACCUCCCCCUCUCAGCUAUUGGUCCAAAUAUCAAAUGGUUG
This is a long non-coding RNA of Anguilla rostrata (American eel), 1342 nucleotides long. RefSeq lists it as uncharacterized. NCBI's taxonomy places the organism in Eukaryota, Metazoa, Chordata, Actinopteri, Anguilliformes, Anguillidae. The transcript is spliced from 6 exons. The record is from RefSeq and is a predicted model, not a curated record.